CGCUGGCGGCAGGCCUAACACAUGCAAGUCGAACGGUAACAGGAAGAAGCUUGCUUCUUUGCUGACGAGUGGCGGACGGGUGAGUAAUGUCUGGGAAACUGCCUGAUGGAGGGGGAUAACUACUGGAAACGGUAGCUAAUACCGCAUAACGUCGCAAGACCAAAGAGGGGGACCUUCGGGCCUCUUGCCAUCGGAUGUGCCCAGAUGGGAUUAGCUUGUUGGUGGGGUAACGGCUCACCAAGGCGACGAUCCCUAGCUGGUCUGAGAGGAUGACCAGCCACACUGGAACUGAGACACGGUCCAGACUCCUACGGGAGGCAGCAGUGGGGAAUAUUGCACAAUGGGCGCAAGCCUGAUGCAGCCAUGCCGCGUGUAUGAAGAAGGCCUUCGGGUUGUAAAGUACUUUCAGCGGGGAGGAAGGGAGUAAAGUUAAUACCUUUGCUCAUUGACGUUACCCGCAGAAGAAGCACCGGCUAACUCCGUGCCA
Molecule: ribosomal RNA, 487 nt
Filed under: uncultured Escherichia sp.
Lineage: Bacteria; Pseudomonadati; Pseudomonadota; Gammaproteobacteria; Enterobacterales; Enterobacteriaceae
Description: bacterial SSU rRNA
Rfam family: Bacterial small subunit ribosomal RNA
Source: RNAcentral